This 4161-nucleotide ribosomal RNA is filed under the name Triticum aestivum (bread wheat). RNAcentral's name for it is "partial small subunit ribosomal RNA". The record is from RNAcentral. Lineage: Eukaryota; Viridiplantae; Streptophyta; Magnoliopsida; Poales; Poaceae.
AUGGCAAGGACGCCGGCCUCGGACGACGACGACGAUGGCCCGCCCACCUACACCGUGGCACGCGGGACUCGCCGUGACCCCCGGCUCAAGGACCUCGGCAUCUCCUGCAUGCUCAACACGGAGGUGGCCGCGCUCCUCGCCGUCAUUCGCCGCCGUCCGGACCCCUACGCUUACCUCCCUCCGGCGGUCGCCGCUGCCGAAGAGGCCGUGUUCGCAGGCCUCAUCCAGUCCCUCAAGAGCCUCCGUGCCCUCCUCUUCCAGCCCCGCCACGGCGCGUGGCGCUGCUCCGACCCGUCCAUGUACCUGUCGCCGUUCCUCGACGUCGUGCAGAGCGAGGAGGUCCCGCCGGCGGCCACCGGCGUCGCCCUGUCGUCCGUGCUGAAGAUCCUGCGGAUCGACGUGUUCGACGAGUGCUCGCCGGGCGCCCGGGACGCGAUACAGGCCAUCCUGACCGCGGUCACCAACUGCCGCAUAGAGCGCAUCGCGGACGCCGGCGCCGAGGAGGCCGUGCUCCUCCGCGUGCUGCAGGUGCUCGCCGCGCUCCUCCGCGCCCGCGCCGCGCCCCUCCUUUCGGACAGCGCCGUGUGCACCGCGGUCAACACGUGCUUCCAAGUGGUGCAGCACGCCGCCAGCAGCCGCGGCAGCGAGCUCCUGCAGCGCACGGCUCGGCACUGCAUGCACGAGAUCCUGCAGGCCGUCUUCGCCCGCCUGCCGGACAUCCGCGACGACGCUGAGGACGACAUGUCCGUCACCUCCGCGGCAGGCUUCGGCCCGCGGUGCAUGGUUGAUGUCUUCAACUUCCUCUGCUCGCUGCUCCUCAAUGCCCCCGACAUGGUGAUGACGCCCGAGGGGCACGGCGCGUUCACCUCCGAGGAGGACGUGCAGCUCUUCGCCCUGGUGCUGCUCAACUCGGCCGUGGAGCUCGGCGGCGAGGCCAUUGGCAAGCAUCCCAAGCUCUUGCGCCUCAUCCAGGAUGAUCUUUUCUACCACUUGAUCUACUACGCCACGGAGUGCAGCCCUCUGGUCCUCUCCAUGAUCUGCAGCACGGUUCUCAACCUGUACAACUUCUUGCGCAGGUUCCUCAAGCUCCAGCUGGAAGCAUUCUUCAUGUAUGUGAUACUCCGAGUUGGCAGCGGUGCGAGCGGGAUGCAGCUGCAGGAGGUGGCGAUCGAGGGGCUCAUCAGCUUUUGCCGGCAGCCAACCUUCGUGAUCGAGAUGUACGUCAACUAUGACUGCGACCCGCUGAUGCGCAAUGUCUUCGAAGAGGUCGGCAAGCUGCUCUGCAAGGCGGCGUACCCGCUGUCGAACCCGAUGACGACCGUUCAGCUCCAGGCGUUCGAGGGCCUCGUCAACAUGAUCACCACCAUCGCCGACAACGUGGAGGUGGAGAAGGCCCCGGACCAGGAGGCGUACAACGUGGAGAUCUCCGAGUACCGGCUGUUCUGGCUGGAGCGGUGGGACUCGAGCGACGACCAUGGCCACGAGACCUGGGUGGACUUCGUCCGCAAGCGCAAGCUCAAGAAGAAGAAGGUGGCCAUCGCCGCCAACCACUACAACCGCGACGAGAAGAAGGGCGUCGAGUUCCUCAAGCUGUGCCACCUGGUGCCCACCCCGCCGGACCCCAAGAGCAUGGCCUACUUCCUGCGCUACUCGCCGGGCCUCGACAAGGUCAAGAUCGGGGAGUUCCUCGGCGACCCGGACGAGUUCAACCUCAAAGUGCUCAAGGAGUUCACCGACACCUUUGACUUCAACGGCUCCAUCCUCGACACCGCGCUCCGCACCUACCUCGAGUCGUUCCGGUUGCCCGGAGAGUCGCAGAAGAUACAGCGCGUUCUUGAGCACUUCUCGGAGCGCUUCUACGAGCAGCAAACGCAGGAGGUGUUCGCGACAAAGGACGCCGCCUUCAUCCUCUGCUACUCCGUCAUCAUGCUCAACACCGAUCUGCACAACCCCCAGGUGAAGAAGAAAAUGUCAGAGGAUGACUUCAUCAGGAACAACCGCGCCAUCAACUCCGGCAAGGACCUUCCCAGGGAGUACCUGUCCGAGCUCUUCCACUCCAUUGCGGUGAACGCCAUCACCAUGUUCAGCCAGGGCGCCACCAACGUCGAGAUGACCACCAGCCGGUGGGCAGACAUCGUCAAGCGGUCGCGCUCCAUCGAGCCCUUCACCCCUUGCGACUUCAAGCACAAGCUCAGCCGUGAGGUGUUCAUUGCCGUCUCCGGUCCGGCCGUCGCGACGUUGGCCGCCAUAUUCGACUACACGGACGACGAGGAGAUCCUGAACCAGUGCGUGGAGGGCUUGAUCUCCGUGGCGCGCAUUGCACGCUACGGGCUGGAGGACGUGCUUGACGAGCUCCUCUGCUGCCUCUGCAAGUUCACGACGCUGCUGAACCCCUACGCCACCACGGAGGAGACCAUCUUCACUUUCAGCAAUGAGCUCAAGCCGAGGAUGUCAACACUGGCUCUCUUCACCAUCGCCAACAGGUUCGGCGAGUCGGUGCGAGGCGCUUGGAAGAACAUCGUCGACUGCCUGCUCAAGCUCAAGCGGCUCAGGCUGCUACCCCAGUCGGUGGUCGAACAGGACGGCAGCGUGUCCAGCCGUUUAGGCCCUCGCCCCAAGUCAGAUUCAGCCGCCAUUUUCCCCUCGUCGCACCGUGGCGCCGGGACAAGCCGACAUGUGUCCGGCAUGAUCGGCCGGUUCUCGCAGUUCCUGUCUCUCGACGGCUGUGGCGAGUCGCUGCUCUGCGUCGGCAACGAGUUCGAGAACAACCUCAAGAUCAUCCAGCAAUGCCAGAUCGGCAGCAUGUUCACGGAGAGCGGGAAGCUGCCUGACGAGUCGCUGCAGAACCUUGGGCGGGCGCUUAUCUUUGCGGCCGGUGGCAAGGGCCAGAAAUUCAGCACCCCGAUCGAGGAAGAGGAGACCGUGGGCUUCUGCUGGGAUCUCAUCUUGCUCGUCUCCCUGGCCAACCUUCAUCGCUUCGCGUCCUUCUGGCAGCACAUGCACGACUGCUUCACGGCCGUGUCCAUGCUGCCGCUCUUCUCGCCGUGCCCUUUCGCGGAGAAGGCCAUCGUAGUGCUCUUCAAGGUCGCCGUGAAGCUGCUCCCGGGACAGGCCACCCCCGACCGCCUCGCCGAGGAGCUCAUCUGCAAGUCGGUCAACCUGAUGUGGAAGCUUGACAAGGAGAUCCUCGACACGUGCUGCGAGGGCAUCUCGGAGUGCAUCGUGAAGCUGAUCAUGGAGCACGCCGGGAGCGUGCAGACGCCGCUCGGGUGGAAGACGCUGCUGCAUCUGCUGUCCGUCACCGGCCGCCACCCGGAGACCUUCGACCAGUCUGUGGCCGCGAUGAUCAAGCUGAUGAGCGACGGGGCGCACAUCUCGCGGUUCAACUACGCGGCCUGCAUCGAGGCGGCCUUCGGUUUCGCCGCGCUCAAGAUCAGCCCCCUCGAGAUUAGCACCAAGAUCCUGGAGCUGAUGGCCGAGUCCGUGAACUGGCUCGUGCAGUGGCACAAGUCCGGCUACUCUGACCCGGGGAGCAGCAACAGCUUGUCGUCGGUGGAGGACGCGUCGCGCAUGGGCAACCUGGCGACCAACAUGUUCAUCAAGCUGGCGGAGACGCUGCGCAAGACGAGCCUGGUGCGGCGGGAGGAGAUCCGCAACCAGGCCGUGACGGACCUCGGCCGGAGCUUCGCGCUGGCCGCGGCGGGGGACCUGGACUUCGGCCCUGCGGGCUGCCUGGCCUGCUUCAACCUCGUCAUCUUCGCCAUGGUGGACGACCUGCACGAGAAGACGCUCGAGUACUCCCGGCGGGAGGGCGCGGAGCGCGAGACGCGGAGCAUGGAGGGCACGCUCGCCGCGGCGACAGAGCUGCUGGCCGACGUCUUCGUGCUCUUCCUGGGGACGCUGGCGCAGGGGCCGGGCUUCCGGACCUUCUGGCUCGGCGUGCUGCGUCGGCUGGACACGUGCAUCAAGUCCGACCUGGCGGCCGGCGGCGGCGCCGGCGUGAUGCAGGAGCUGGUGCCUCGGAUGCUCAAGAGGAUGAUCGUCGAGAUGAAGAACAAGGAGGUGCUGGUGCAGAGAGACGGAGACGAGCUCUGGGAGAUCACCCACAUCCAGAUCCAGUGGAUUGCACCUGCCGUCAAGGAAGAGCUGUUCCCCGAGUAG